ACGUAGGGGGGCGAGCGUUGUCCGGAGUUACUGGGCGUAAAGCGCCCGCAGGCGGUCUGCGAAGUAGUGGGUGACAGCUCCCGGCCUAACUGGGAGAGCGGUCACUAAACUGGCAGACUUGAGGGCCGGAGAGGGACAUGGAACUCCGGGUGGAGUGGUGAAAUGCGUAGAUAUCCGGAAGAACACCAAAGGCGAAGGCAAUGUCCUGGAUGGUACCUGACGCUGAGGGGCGAAAGCUAGGGGAGCGAACGGGAUUAGAUACCCCGGUAGUCCUAGCCGUAAACGAUGACCACUAGGCGUGUGGGGUAUCGACCCCCUACGUGCCGACUCUAACGAACUAAGUAGUCCGCCUGGGGAGUACGGUCGCAAGAUUA
Molecule: ribosomal RNA, 374 nt
Filed under: uncultured bacterium
Lineage: Bacteria
Description: bacterial SSU rRNA
Rfam family: Bacterial small subunit ribosomal RNA
Source: RNAcentral